UACGUAGGGGGCUAGCGUUGUCCGGAAUCAUUGGGCGUAAAGCGCGCGUAGGCGGCCCGGUAAGUCCGUUGUGAAAGUCAAAGGCUCAACCUUUGAAAGCCGAUGGAUACUGCCGGGCUGGAGUCCGGAAGAGGCGAGUGGAAUUCCUGGUGUAGCGGUGGAAUGCGCAGAUAUCAGGAGGAACACCAAUAGCGAAGGCAGCUCGCCGGGACGGUACUGACGCUGAGGCGCGAAAGCGUGGGGAGCGAACAGG
This 253-nucleotide ribosomal RNA is filed under the name uncultured bacterium. RNAcentral describes it as "partial 16S ribosomal RNA". It matches the Rfam family "Bacterial small subunit ribosomal RNA", at positions 524 to 776 of the family's 1533-position model. The record is from RNAcentral.